This 344-nucleotide ribosomal RNA is filed under the name uncultured bacterium. RNAcentral's name for it is "bacterial SSU rRNA". It matches the Rfam family "Bacterial small subunit ribosomal RNA", at positions 29 to 399 of the family's 1533-position model. The record is from RNAcentral.
AACGAACGCUGGCGGCAGGCCUAACACAUGCAAGUCGAACGCUCGUAGCAAUACGGGAGUGGCAGACGGGUGAGUAACACGUGGGAACCUUCCCUAUGGUUCGGAAUAGCUCAGGGAAACUUGGGGUAAUACCGGAUAAGCCCUUCGGGGAAAGGAUUUAUCGCCAUUGGAUGGCCGCGUCGGAUUAGCUAGUUGGUGAGGUAACGGCUCACCAAGGCAACGAUCCGUAGCUGGUUUGAGAGAAUGACCAGCCACACUGGGACUGAGACACGGCUCAGACUCCUACGGGAGGGCAGCAGUGGGGAAUCUUGCGCAAUGGGCGAAAGCCUGACGCAGCGACGCCG